Non-coding RNA from Cyanistes caeruleus (blue tit), 2784 nucleotides. The record is from RefSeq and is a predicted model, not a curated record. Lineage: Eukaryota; Metazoa; Chordata; Aves; Passeriformes; Paridae.
UACCGGGGUUAUCGGUACAGGGGGUUACCGGUGCCGGGGUUACCGGUACCGGGGGUUACCGGUGCCGGGGUUACCGGUACCGGGGGUUACCGGUGCUCCCUGUGCUCACACGCAGCCGCCGCCGAGGCUGCUCCUGCGGGACCCGCGGGGCUGAUGCGGGGCCGGGGCGAGGGCAGCGCCCACCGGAGCGGAGCAUCCGUGCUUGCAGGGUCCCCGGCAGAGCCUUACGGGAAAAGGGAAAGCCGUCCUCGCAAACCUCCCCCGGCCCCGAUCUUUGCGGAAAGGCUCCUGCUGCAGUUUCAGCGCUUGUUUUUUGAUAAGUGUUUUUCUCACAGCUGGGUCCCUCUUGACAGAUGCUGACGUAGAAGACAGUUUAGGUUUCAAAGACUUUAGGUCUAAGAGAUGCAUCAGUUCCUGACUGUGGCAGAACUCCAGUUGCUUCAGCAGAAGCAGAAUGAGCUUUGCAUUUUCUCUCUGGAGUUUCUUGCCAGAGGGCUACAGAAAGACACACUGGAUGUUUAUUACAACUAUAGCAAGAUGAUCUGGGAGAAUUCUGCUAUUUUUUGGUCCCCCUGAAGCCAUUCUUACUGUAGCUGUGAGAUUCUUGUGCAUCCAAAGAGCCGUUUCAUUAUCCUCCCAUGCUGUUCUUGCUGGCAUACAUCAUCACUGGCUUUAGAGCUGCAAGCUCAGAAAAGGAGUGCUAUGAGAUUAGUGCAAUCAUAUUUCCAGCAAAAUCCCAGGCAUGUUAGCUUUCUCCAGGUGCAAAUUAUCCAACUACGGGUAUGUACUAGAACCUCCUGAAACACUCAGCCCCUCACUGGUUAAGGAAUUAAGAUUUGACCCCUUACACAGCAAUAAUCCCAACCAGCCUCUCCUGCCCUCAGACCCCUGAUGGAUCUGCUGAUCCCAUGUGUUCCAUGUCAUUAGACAAGUCUCUGAUUGAUGCCUGUCUGGUUUUUAUCUAUUUAACACUUCAGGAGCAGGAAUGGUUGUGUUGUGCAAUAAAAUAGUUCGAGAUUUGUCCCUGUCCUUGAGCAAAAUUCCAGUUACCUGUCUGUCUCUGAGGAGACCCUGCAUGCUGGAUGUACUAAAGUCAUACAGAAUGACUGACAGCACAUCCAGUUCCUGUCUGAUUGCUGGCCUCCUGAUUUUCGACGGGAUGUGAGACCCUAGCAGGAGGUUCUUCUCCCCCCUCUGUGUGGUAGUCAAGACAGAAAAACAAACAAACAAAACCCAAAAAAUCCUGUUUUCCUCAAUAGAAAACUCUUUGCUAAUGAAGGGGGUCUUGGCAAAGAGUGGAAGGGCUCAUUCUGCGGGGGCUUCUUUGAGUCCUCCUGCACAGGUACAGGAACAGUGAGCAAGGACAUCCCCACAUUCAGGCACUGAGCUCACAAAGAGCCUUCUCAUCUUUGAUGAACAGUUCAAAACUCGUACACCUCUCACAUUGUGUAAACUCAGCCCUUCUGCAAGCACAUCGCUGGUUUGAGGCCAGAGAGCUGCAGCUCUGCAAGCAGGACUUUGUCAGAGGAGCUCCCCUUCAGAGGUGUUUGGAGUAGAGGCCAGCAGCUGACAGACACUGCACAGACCCUGGCACAAGCUCAGGAGAGAGGUGGAUAUGUUUGACAAGGUGAGGAAGACUCAGGCAGCACCCUCCCCUGUGCUGUACAUUCCCUGGCUUUUAAGAAAUGCCAUCCUGGAAUGGCUCAUUAUCUCUGUUCUCUUCCAAGAUCCAAUUAAUUUAAAGCAUGAUAGGUUUGCUGGGUUCACUCACACACCAAAGGAAGGGAAGAAUGAAGAUAGGACAUCAAAAGUAUUGGUACAAUAUGCAUUUACUUCAAAACUCUGUCCCUUGUGUAGCUCUGAUCAAAGGAAGAGAUGUGACAAAGGCUGAAGUUGCCUGAGCUAUCAAGAGAAGUCAUGCAGAGGCUGACGGCAGCUGUAGCAUCCUGCUGAGUUUUAUCUGGGGACAAGUCACCAGCAGGGCCCUGAUUCAGGGACCUCACUGUGUGGCAAAUGUCUGUGGGUGGCUGUUGAGGGUUGUGUCAGCUCAGAAAGCCCCUGAGCUGUGGAGCUCUGGUGAAAGCUCACUCCCUCAGCUGGAAGGAUCCCUCAUGGAUUCUGGGAAGGAUCCCCCAGGAUCUAUGUGUUUGCCCAGUUUCUGGGUUUGGGAGGAAUGUUUCAGCCACCAGCAGCACUGGUGACAGGUACCUUGCUGUGUCACCCCUGGCCAGGGGUGCAGCUCUGCCACACAGCCCAGGGCAGCCAGGACUCAGGAGAAGCUUGGCCAGAGGACAGAGGAUGCUGAAGCUCUGCCAGAUUCCUGAUCAGCAGAACAACCACAGGCACCAGCAGCUGCCUGUGAUGAGCACAGGGGAUGGGGGCAGGAGUCUCUGUGAGGCUGAGCUGCAGGGUCCCAGCAGGGUGCCAAAAGUCCACCACUCUGGGUUUGCAAACGCAUGGAAGCAGGAGCACAAACAGCCAGGAAAGGAGGGGAGAUUCUGAGAGACCCUUGUGCUGAAGCAUUUAAAAGUUAAUUUUCAGCUCAUUCAGUCAAAAGAGGUUAUGAAAUUACAGCAAUAAAAUCUGAAGAGCAUAAUCCAAAUGGCACUUUCCUGGGAGGUCUAAAGAGCUCAAACACAAAAGUACUGAUUAUUGUGCUUUUAAAUUAUAAGUUAAACUACUUUACCACCAAGGGAACAAAAAAUGGCCAGUAGGGCAUCCUUUCUGAAUGGGGGCUCCAGGGGCAAUCUUGGUUAUUUUACAUCCAAAUUCCCUUCCAAGCAG